GAGGUAGAGCAAAUCUCAAAAAAACAAUCUCAGUUCAGACUGCAGGCUGCAACUCGCCUGCACGAAGUCGGAAUUGCUAGUAAUCGUAGGUCAGCAUACUACGGUGAAUACGUUCCCGGGCCUUGUACACACCGCCCGUCAAACCAUGAGAGUUGGCAACACCCGAAGUCGGUAGUCUAACCGCAAGGAGGACGCCGCCGAAGGUGGGGUUGAUGAUUAGGGUUAAGUCGUAACAAGGUAAC
Molecule: ribosomal RNA, 242 nt
Filed under: uncultured bacterium
Lineage: Bacteria
Description: partial 16S ribosomal RNA
Rfam family: Bacterial small subunit ribosomal RNA
Source: RNAcentral